This is a non-coding RNA of Cajanus cajan (pigeon pea), 2126 nucleotides long. Lineage: Eukaryota; Viridiplantae; Streptophyta; Magnoliopsida; Fabales; Fabaceae. The record is from RefSeq and is a predicted model, not a curated record.
CUAGCUGGCUUGAAACGAAGAUCGAUUUGAUUUGAGGAUGAAGAAAGGAUAUGUACGUAUCCAUCACAUGAUCAUAUUAUUCGUACUCUUACAUCAUCAGUGUGAAAUUUGAGGGAAGAAAACGAAACCCUAAGAUGCCGAAGAAGAUGGGGGUGAACACGAAGGCGGAGGCGGCGAGGGCUCGGAAGAGCGCGGCGGAGACGGAGCGCAAGGAGAAGGAGACUCGAGAGAAGGAGGAACAGUACUGGCGAGAGGCCGAGGGUUCAAAGUCACGCGCCGCCAAGAAGAAGGAGGAAGAGGCCGAAAAGAGGGCCGAGGCAGCGGCGCGCAAGGCGGAGGCGCGCCGCUUGGCUGAGCUGGAGGAGAAGGAGCUCGACAAGUCCAUGAAGAAGGUCGACAAGAAGGCCAACCGUGUCUCCAUCCCGGUUCCCAAGGUCACGGAAGCCGAGCUCCAGCGCCGCCGGGAGGAGGAGCAGGCGGAGGCUCAGAGGAAGGCGGAGGAGGCUAAGAAGCGCCAGAGUCGCACCGCCGCAGAGGAGGAGUACGAGAGAAUGGUGCUUGUUUCCAACACUAAUCGCGACGAUUCCAUCAUCGAAGCAAGAACUUUGGAUGAUGCCAUCGCUCAGAUGACCAUCGUCGAUAACUUGCCCCCCGAUCGCCAUCCCGAAAGGCGUCUCAAGGCCUCCUUCAAGGCAUUUGAAGAAGCUGAGCUCCCUAAGUUGAAGGAAGAGAAACCGGGCCUUACCCACAAUCAGUACAAGGACAUGAUAUGGAAGCUAUGGAAGAAAUCUCCAGACAAUCCUCUUAAUCAAAUUGCUGAGUGAAUGAUCAAACUGCAGCCGAACUGUAACCGAAUGCAACAGCUUCUAUUUGUGAUGUGGCGGAGCCAUUUGUAGUUGGCUUCAUUUCCUUUCUUCUUAUGAUCCCUCUGUAGCAGGGUAUCGGUUUCGCUUUCUGUACAUGCACAGACAUUGUAGCCAUCAAGUUUCACUCUCGUACUGCUCUUCUCGGGAUAAAAGGGCUUCUGAAGUACAUUGUAUUUAAUUUGAUCAAAUCAUGGCAUAUCUCCCUUAAUAUAAUAAAGUAUGCGUUUGAUUAACGCCCUACACUUUUAGUUCCUACUUUGUUCCAUGUCGUCCUAUAGUUUAGAUGAGUGAAUUUUCUCCUCAUAAAUUUUUAAUUGUUAGAAUUGGAUCCCUGCCGUUCAAUUGUGGACGUAAAUGUCACGGAGAUGUCUGGCAGUGGCAUAGACUCAUGUCUGAUUUGUUAAUAGGAAAAAUCAUACGAAAUGUGCCAUGCAAAUAUACUUGCAAAUCAGGAUGGUGACUAAGCCAGUGGAGGGUAGGGGGUCCAUAGAGAAGGGUUUGCCUCACUUCCUCUGUUGACCCUCGUAAUCUCCCGAUCCAUCUCUACUCACCUCCUCACCUCCCAAAUCUAUCCUUGCCAUUAGCUAUGGGUCCGUUUACUUUGAGAAUUCAGGAAAUAAAUUGAAAACAAGAUGGUAAUUUUGUGAUUAAAAGUGAAAACAAAAAUUGAUAAUAGAAGUAAAUGGACUUUAACUGACUCUUUUAUGCAUUACGAUCUUCAUCUCCACUUGGGCUCUGAACCUUAGCAUAUCCUUCUUGAGGACCCGCUGAAGCAUCACCACUAUGAGCUUCUAUGAUUAUGUACCAAAUAAGGCUACAUAGAAUUCUGUACACAUUUUCUUGUGCAUUAGCUAUAUACUUCAUGCAGAAUAAUGCGUUGACUUUGUCAGUUUCUAGUAUUGUAUAUUCUUACCAAAGACAUUGUUGAAGGGAAAAAAAAAUUGCCUUAAUUUCAGUCAUUUGAAUAGGCACGAUACCUUGACCAUCAUAAAAUAUUUCUCAACAUCUGUAUAGCUUUCUUUCAUGUCACCCCCUUUGAGCCUGCUCCACUCGUUAAAUACUUAAGUGGGUUGUGUUCUGAUCCUACUGUAAUUGGUCUAAGAAAUGAACAGAUUCUUUCCAGAUAGCACUCGUCAAUCCUUUCAUCCAUAGAGACCCAAAUGCUUCUCUCUGCAUUCAACUCGUCAUGGUGGAAUGAUAGUGGGAGAAGUAAAAUUACUGUGUUUCAUUUUACUGUUUUAUUAUUACUAGUUGAAUGUC